UACAAAGGGGGCUAACGUUGUUCGGAUUUACUGGGCGUAAAGCGCACGUAGGCGGAUCGUUAAAUGAGGGGUGAAAUCCCAGAGCUCAACCCUAAAACUGCCUUUCAUACUGGCGAUCUUGAGUCCGGAAGAGGUGAAUGGAACUCCUAGUGUAGAGGUGGAAUUCGUAGAUAUUAGGAAGAACACCAAUGACGAAGACGACUCACUGGUCCAAUACUGACGCUGAGGUGCGAAAACAUGGGGAGCAAACAGG
RNAcentral lists this ribosomal RNA (253 nucleotides) under uncultured bacterium. RNAcentral describes it as "partial 16S ribosomal RNA". It matches the Rfam family "Bacterial small subunit ribosomal RNA", at positions 524 to 776 of the family's 1533-position model. The record is from RNAcentral.